Molecule: unclassified non-coding RNA, 536 nt
Filed under: Hevea brasiliensis (rubber tree)
Lineage: Eukaryota; Viridiplantae; Streptophyta; Magnoliopsida; Malpighiales; Euphorbiaceae
Source: RNAcentral
AUUUGAAUGGGCAAUGUUUCAUAUAUUUUCUUGCUAUGCGUCUAUUACUUCACAAAAAAGGUACAUGCAUAAUAUGGAAAUGAACCAUAAUUAGUAAUAAUCAUGCAUAAACACACACAAAAAUAUAUUUUUGUUGGCUCCCAAAAAUGUGUUAUGGAUCUCAAGGAAAUAUAUUUCAUUUUAUGUACUAUGCAAAAAUAAGCUCUCAAAUAUGUGACGUGGUCCUUGGAAGGUAUAGCUAGAGCAUAAAAUGGUUGGUCCCCCUCACCUUUUCUACACUUCUCUUCUAUUGGAGGUAAAAAAACUAUGGUUGGUCAUUAUAAAAUUUAUUGCAAAUGAAAUUAGUAACUAGUUGUGGGUUCUUUUCUAGUGGUUCCUUGAAGCCUGGGUGUUUGUCUUGUGUAAAUGGUUCAAGUGCAUCUCUAAAUACAUCUUUCAAUAAUUUUCAGUUCACUUGAAACCAAACUAAACUAAUUGAGGUUUAAUGGAAGAAAACUUGUUGCACUAGUCUCAAACUUGAUGAGGUCAGCUUCAUG